ACGGGUGAGUAACGCGUGGGAAUCUACCCAUCUCUACGGAACAACUCCGGGAAACUGGAGCUAAUACCGUAUACGUCCUUCGGGAGAAAGAUUUAUCGGAGAUGGAUGAGCCCGCGUUGGAUUAGCUAGUUGGUGGGGUAAUGGCCUACCAAGGCGACGAUCCAUAGCUGGUCUGAGAGGAUGAUCAGCCACAUUGGGACUGAGACACGGCCCAAACUCCUACGGGAGGCAGCAGUGGGGAAUAUUGGACAAUGGGCGAAAGCCUGAUCCAGCCAUGCCGCGUGAGUGAUGAAGGCCCUAGGGUUGUAAAGCUCUUUCAACGGUGAAGAUAAUGACGGUAACCGUAGAAGAAGCCCCGGCUAACUUCGUGCCAGCAGCCGCGGUAAUACGAAGGGGGCUAGCGUUGUUCGGAAUUACUGGGCGUAAAGCGCACGUAGGCGGAUUGUUAAGUUAGGGGUGAAAUCCCAGGGCUCAACCCUGGAACUGCCUUUAAUACUGGCAAUCUCGAGUCCGAGAGAGGUGAGUGGAAUUCCGAGUGUAGAGGUGAAAUUCGUAGA
RNAcentral lists this ribosomal RNA (557 nucleotides) under uncultured bacterium. Its description in RNAcentral is "bacterial SSU rRNA". It matches the Rfam family "Bacterial small subunit ribosomal RNA", at positions 102 to 694 of the family's 1533-position model. The record is from RNAcentral. RNAcentral also lists the same sequence under 1 other name.